AGUGAACGCUGGCGGUAGGCCUAACACAUGCAAGUCGAACGGCAGCACAGGAGAGAUUGCUCCCUGGGUGGCGAGUGGCGGACGGGUGAGGAAUACAUCGGAAUCUACCUUUUCGUGGGGGAUAACGUAGGGAAACUUACGCUAAUACCGCAUACGACCUUGGGGUGAAAGCAGGGGACCUUCGGGCCUUGCGCGGAUAGAUGAGCGGAAGGCGGAUUAGCUAGUAGGCGGGGUAAAGGCCCACCAAGGCGACGAUCCGUAGCUGGUCUGAGAGGAUGAUCAGCCACACUGGAACUGAGACACGGUCCAGACUCCGACGGGAGGCAGCAGUGGGGAAUAUUGGACAAUGGGCGCAAGCCUGAUCCAGCCAUACCGCGUGAGUGAAGAAGGCCUUCGGGUUGUAAAGCCCUUUUGUUGGGAAAGAAAAGCAGCCAUUUAAUACCUGGUUGUUCUGACGGUACCCAAAGAAUAAGCACCGGCUAACUUCGUGCCAGCCGCCGCGGUAA
RNAcentral lists this ribosomal RNA (506 nucleotides) under uncultured bacterium. Its description in RNAcentral is "partial 16S ribosomal RNA". It matches the Rfam family "Bacterial small subunit ribosomal RNA", at positions 29 to 523 of the family's 1533-position model. The record is from RNAcentral.